This 370-nucleotide long non-coding RNA is filed under the name Olea europaea (common olive). Its description in RNAcentral is "long non-coding RNA (OEUR_LNC003662)". The record is from RNAcentral. Lineage: Eukaryota; Viridiplantae; Streptophyta; Magnoliopsida; Lamiales; Oleaceae.
CCCACACGAUUGUUUAACAAUUCCUUACAAGUUCUUCAUUGGCCGGGUUAGAUUUUGGUCGAUGAGUGCGUUCACAUGCUGAUAGCUUUACUGGGAUUGUUUCUGUUUGAAAUUCAUUGAUUGAUAUGUAUGCAGGGUGUAGAGCAAUAGAGGAAGCCUACAAGGUGUUUGAGAAUGUGCUUGACAGGAAUUCAGUAAAUAUGGAACACUAUAAUAUUACGGUUGCUCAUGAAGCAUUGGAGCUCUCCUCGACAUUAGUAUAUGAGAAGCUCAAAAUGCCAUUCACGCAGCAUGGUCGACAAGGGAAGGAGAUUUUUUGUUGUGUGGAUGACGAAUACCAUAUCCGACCAACCAUAAAGGCUAAAGCACU